GUGCAACGACCGAGUUCAAGGUCCAAGUUCGAGCCCCGAGUUUGAGCGCCAGUACCAAAACAAACAAACAAAAAGAUCGACUAAUUCAGCAAGACAAUCUGUGAGAGUGGUUAUACAGCUAUGAGGCCGAUUUCCGCCCGUGAUUGUGAGAGCAAAGGGGCUUGAUUGCUGGCCAGGCACAUCAGUUCCCCAGCAGAAGCCUGCUGCCAACAUGUUGCCAUGCAGAGAAAGACUUAUUUAUCCUCGCUUUAUGUUUCUUAUCUGAGCCAGUUCCCUAUUUGUCACCAUUCUCCCCAUUCCCAUGGUGACUCAACUUCUUCAACAGGCUUUGGUGUGGAGCUUUCCAAGGAUUCUUAAAAGUCACCUUUGGCACCACAACCACGGAGAGAUCCUACCUGCUGCCACACUGGCAGCACACACUGCUCCUGAUCAUUCAUGAGGAGAUCCUUGGAGACUGGACCCUGGCCUUGUAGUAAGGUGGAGUUGGCACCCCAAGACUGACCAUCAUUCUGAGCCCCUGGUAUACUGUC
Molecule: long non-coding RNA, 530 nt
Filed under: Heterocephalus glaber (naked mole-rat)
Lineage: Eukaryota; Metazoa; Chordata; Mammalia; Rodentia; Bathyergidae
Description: lncRNA (ENSHGLG00000045508.1)
Source: RNAcentral